Molecule: ribosomal RNA, 484 nt
Filed under: uncultured bacterium
Lineage: Bacteria
Description: partial 16S ribosomal RNA
Rfam family: Bacterial small subunit ribosomal RNA
Source: RNAcentral
AGUGAACGCUGGCGGCAGGCCUAACACAUGCAAGUCGAGCGGCAGCGCGGUGAGAGCUUUCUCGGCGGGCGGGCGACGGGCGAGGAAUUCGUCGGUAUCUGCCUAUCUGCGGUGGAGAACGGAGGGAAACAUGCGCUCAUACCGCAUUCCCCCUACCGGCCUACGGGGGAGAGCGCAAGACCUUCCGCCGUUAGAUGAGUCGACGACCGAUUAGCUGGUUGGUGGGGUAAAGGCCUACCAAGGCGACGAUCGGAAGAUGCUCUGAGAGGAUGAUCAGCCACACUGGGACUGAGACACGGCCCAGACUCCUACGGGAGGCAGCAGUGGGGAAUAUGGGACAAUGGGCGCAAGCCUGAUCCAGCCAUGCCGCGUGUGUGAAGAAGGCCUUCGGGUUGUAAAGCACUUUUGUCCGGAAAGAAAUCCCUGGAGCUAAUACCUUCGGGGGAUGACGGUACCGGAAGAAUAAGCACCGGCUAACUUCGUG